AACGGUGCAUGGACUGGCUAGA
RNAcentral lists this microRNA (22 nucleotides) under Macacine gammaherpesvirus 4 (Rhesus lymphocryptovirus). RNAcentral's name for it is "rlcv-miR-rL1-12-3p". Its record names the gene rlcv-miR-rL1-12-3p. Lineage: Duplodnaviria; Heunggongvirae; Peploviricota; Herviviricetes; Herpesvirales; Orthoherpesviridae. The record is from miRBase by way of RNAcentral.